GACGAACGCUGGCGGCGUGCCUAAUACAUGCAAGUCGAGCGAGCGGAACCAACAGAUUUACUUCGGUAAUGACGUUGGGAAAGCGAGCGGCGGAUGGGUGAGUAACACGUGGGGAACCUGCCCCUAAGUCUGGGAUACCAUUUGGAAACAGGUGCUAAUACCGGAUAAUAAAGCAGAUCGCAUGAUCAGCUUUUGAAAGGCGGCGUAAGCUGUCGCUAAGGGAUGGCCCCGCGGUGCAUUAGCUAGUUGGUAAGGUAACGGCUUACCAAGGCAAUGACGCAUAGCCGAGUUGAGAGACUGAUCGGCCACAUUGGGACUGAGACACGGCCCAAACUCCUACGGGAGGCAGCAGUAGGGAAUCUUCCACAAUGGACGAAAGUCUGAUGGAGCAACGCCGCGUGAGUGAAGAAGGGUUUCGGCUCGUAAAGCUCUGUUGGUAGUGAAGAAAGAUAGAGGUAGUAACUGGCCUUUAUUUGACGGUAAUUACUUAGAAAGUCACGGCUAACUAC
This 509-nucleotide ribosomal RNA is filed under the name uncultured bacterium. Its description in RNAcentral is "bacterial SSU rRNA". It matches the Rfam family "Bacterial small subunit ribosomal RNA", at positions 28 to 504 of the family's 1533-position model. The record is from RNAcentral.